Long non-coding RNA from Balaenoptera musculus (blue whale), 276 nucleotides. RefSeq lists it as uncharacterized. The record is from RefSeq and is a predicted model, not a curated record. Lineage: Eukaryota; Metazoa; Chordata; Mammalia; Artiodactyla; Balaenopteridae. The transcript has 3 exons.
CCCAAGAAUAAAACCAACUUGAAGAAUGAUAUGAACUGUUUAGAGGUGCUUUCCAAACCUCGUUCCAGAUUUGGGGUCUGAAGAUGCAAAGGAAAUGGCUUUUACCACAUUUCACUUGAGAUGAUGCGAUCGAGACUGGAUGUUUCCUCUGCCCUGUUAGCUACUGUACUGGCUGAGUUCUGCAAGCUUCCUUGCUAGGAGAAAGCUGAUGGGAAGAAGAAUGUGAAUGUGACAGUAAAGAGCUCUGAGCUUCCCUGAGAAGGGUGCCACGUAAUC